AGGCAGGUCUCUCCUCCUGUAAGAUUCUCCCAAAAGGUUUGAUGAAAAUGGCCCCAGAUCUGAAGCAGGUGGAUCUCUUUUCUUGUAAAUACAUCCCAAAAUAUUAAAUGAAAAUGGCUCCAUAUCUGAAGCAGCUGACUCUCUCCUCAGGUUCUCUCCAUUCUUCCUGAUCCUGGGUGCUGCAGUCUCUCCUGAUAAGAACUGGGGCUGCUUUCAGAUCCUCUUUUCCAGAUCAAUCUCCUGUGUCCCAAUACCUUCACUGAAUAUAGUGGGCAUUCUGAAUGAAGGAAAGUAAAAUCAAGUUAAUCUACAACAGCCAGUCAUCAUGAAUCAAAGUAUCUGACUGCUCCACCAAGCAUCAAAAUCCAAA
Long non-coding RNA from Anguilla rostrata (American eel), 370 nucleotides. RefSeq lists it as uncharacterized. The transcript has 2 exons. The record is from RefSeq and is a predicted model, not a curated record. NCBI's taxonomy places the organism in Eukaryota, Metazoa, Chordata, Actinopteri, Anguilliformes, Anguillidae.